RNA transcript from Populus trichocarpa (black cottonwood), 1528 nucleotides. It is a transcript of the gene named GATA transcription factor 11, with no coding region annotated. The record is from RefSeq and is a predicted model, not a curated record. NCBI's taxonomy places the organism in Eukaryota, Viridiplantae, Streptophyta, Magnoliopsida, Malpighiales, Salicaceae. The transcript has 5 exons.
CAACCGCACCACACCACACAUCAUUUCUCUGCUUUUCUUUCUUUCUAUCCAACCAAUUAAUUAAUCCAUCAUUUCUGUCUGUCACCUCCAUUUUCCCUUUCCCCUCUCUUGUCUCCACAACACAAAGUGUUUCUUUCACUAAACUCAAAAUACUGCGUCGUUCUUGACGCUUAUGGCUUGAUUUCUUCCAAGCAAGCAAGGAAGCAAUGAAGGAAGGGAUGAGUAAAUCUUGGUUUUUCGACAAGGAUUUCAGUGGGGUUCCGGAUAAUUUUUUCGAGGAUACUUUGGGGUGCUUUGAUUUCCCAUUGGAAGAUGUAGAACCAAAUGGUGAUGAUGGAGAAGACUGGGAGUCUAAAUUCCGACAUCUCGAGCCCCCUUCCUCUAAUCUUUUAACCACUUUUUCAACCGCUCUCUGUGGUGAAGAUGCCUCCUCCCUGGAACCCAACUAUAACUCUUGUUCGGUUUUGCUUAAUGGAUCUUUACAGUUAAAACAUUGGGCAAGCUCUGCUGAAGCAUCUUCAAGCAGAAGCAAACCCAUCCUUUGUCGGUCUUCAGACAGCAAAUAUUCUCAUCUGUUCCAGGCCACCAGCCCAGUUUCUGUCCUGGAAAGCAGUGGCAGUUCUUGUCCCACUGAAAAUGCGACAACAUAUUACCCCAAAUUUGUCACACCAGUAAAGCGCCCUCGAAGCAAGCUGCCACGCCUCCGGCGACAUACAUUCCCUUUCAUCCCCACUGCCUGUGCCUCUAAAAAGUUUUAUUGUUCGGCUUCUUCAGAUCCAGAAUUAGAAUACUAUAAUGAUGAGGAAAUAUUGGAUUCUUCCAGGAAACAACAGAAGAAAAGGAAUCUGAUGCUGCUAUCUUCUGCAGUAGAGAUGGCGCCGAAGAUGAAGCAGCCAGUUGAAACCAGGAGAUGCACACAUUGUCAGGUGACAAAGACUCCACAAUGGAGAGAAGGACCAUUGGGGCCAAAAACCCUUUGCAAUGCUUGUGGGGUUCGGUACAGAUCAGGCCGCCUCCUUCCAGAGUAUCGACCAGCUGCCAGCCCUACCUUUGUUCCUUUUUUGCACUCCAACUCUCACAGGAAGGUGUUAGAGAUGAGAAAGCAGACGUAGCAGCAGGCCUCUAAUUUGCUCAGGGAGCAUGAAGUUUGAGCCUUCCUUUGCUUUCUCGUCAGAGAUAAGCUCCUGGGCAAAAGAUUUGAGUCCACUUCUAAAGAACAUUUUGUGUCCAGUUGAACUUCUUUCUCCUUCAAGAAAACAAGAUCUACUCUCUGCGCUCGCAUGACUGCCAUCAUAAUGAUCAACUACAUGCCUUGGUGAAUUCGUUUGGGCUCCAAGAGUGUCAGAUUUUGGCAUCGUUGCUGUCGACAAUGAUUCUGCUGAACUUAAGCAUGCUUUAUCCAACCGGACCAGUCUCCGUCUUUCGGGGGCAUCAAGAAUUUGAAAUUUCAAUCAAGCUCUUUUAGUUUUUGUACCUUGUUAUUUUACUGCGUGUUCGUGGGAGCUUGUUGUUACUUGCUGCUGCUUAA